Molecule: ribosomal RNA, 1460 nt
Filed under: Staphylococcus aureus
Lineage: Bacteria; Bacillati; Bacillota; Bacilli; Caryophanales; Staphylococcaceae
Also listed under: 1 other name
Description: partial 23S ribosomal RNA
Rfam family: Bacterial large subunit ribosomal RNA
Source: RNAcentral
GGGGGGACGCAGUAGGAUAGGCGAAGCGUGCGAUUGGAUUGCACGUCUAAGCAGUAAGGCUGAGUAUUAGGCAAAUCCGGUACUCGUUAAGGCUGAGCUGUGAUGGGGAGAAGACAUUGAGUCUUCGAGUCGUUGAUUUCACACUGCCGAGAAAAGCCUCUAGAUAGAAAAUAGGUGCCCGUACCGCAAACCGACACAGGUAGUCAAGAUGAGAAUUCUAAGGUGAGCGAGCGAACUCUCGUUAAGGAACUCGGCAAAAUGACCCCGUAACUUCGGGAGAAGGGGUGCUCUUUAGGGUUAACGCCCAGAAGAGCCGCAGUGAAUAGGCCCAAGCGACUGUUUAUCAAAAACACAGGUCUCUGCUAAACCGUAAGGUGAUGUAUAGGGGCUGACGCCUGCCCGGUGCUGGAAGGUUAAGAGGAGUGGUUAGCUUCUGCGAAGCUACGAAUCGAAGCCCCAGUAAACGGCGGCCGUAACUAUAACGGUCCUAAGGUAGCGAAAUUCCUUGUCGGGUAAGUUCCGACCCGCACGAAAGGCGUAACGAUUUGGGCACUGUCUCAACGAGAGACUCGGUGAAAUCAUAGUACCUGUGAAGAUGCAGGUUACCCGCGACAGGACGGAAAGACCCCGUGGAGCUUUACUGUAGCCUGAUAUUGAAAUUCGGCACAGCUUGUACAGGAUAGGUAGGAGCCUUUGAAACGUGAGCGCUAGCUUACGUGGAGGCGCUGGUGGGAUACUACCCUAGCUGUGUUGGCUUUCUAACCCGCACCACUUAUCGUGGUGGGAGACAGUGUCAGGCGGGCAGUUUGACUGGGGCGGUCGCCUCCUAAAAGGUAACGGAGGCGCUCAAAGGUUCCCUCAGAAUGGUUGGAAAUCAUUCAUAGAGUGUAAAGGCAUAAGGGAGCUUGACUGCGAGACCUACAAGUCGAGCAGGGUCGAAAGACGGACUUAGUGAUCCGGUGGUUCCGCAUGGAAGGGCCAUCGCUCAACGGAUAAAAGCUACCCCGGGGAUAACAGGCUUAUCUCCCCCAAGAGUUCACAUCGACGGGGAGGUUUGGCACCUCGAUGUCGGCUCAUCGCAUCCUGGGGCUGUAGUCGGUCCCAAGGGUUGGGCUGUUCGCCCAUUAAAGCGGUACGCGAGCUGGGUUCAGAACGUCGUGAGACAGUUCGGUCCCUAUCCGUCGUGGGCGUAGGAAAUUUGAGAGGAGCUGUCCUUAGUACGAGAGGACCGGGAUGGACAUACCUCUGGUGUACCAGUUGUCGUGCCAACGGCAUAGCUGGGUAGCUAUGUGUGGACGGGAUAAGUGCUGAAAGCAUCUAAGCAUGAAGCCCCCCUCAAGAUGAGAUUUCCCAACUUCGGUUAUAAGAUCCCUCAAAGAUGAUGAGGUUAAUAGGUUCGAGGUGGAAGCAUGGUGACAUGUGGAGCUGACGAAUACUAAUCGAUCGAAGACUUAAUCAAA